This is a long non-coding RNA of Gasterosteus aculeatus aculeatus (three-spined stickleback), 2676 nucleotides long. The record is from Ensembl. NCBI's taxonomy places the organism in Eukaryota, Metazoa, Chordata, Actinopteri, Perciformes, Gasterosteidae.
UAUUCAAGUAGCCUCGUCCCGUCACUGCUUUCAGAGGGAGGAGUCAUCCACAAACAAAUGCAACUGUGAUUGACUAAAGAUUUCUCUACAUCUUGAGUAGUAAGGACUCAGUCAUCAUGGAAAGACACAUCCUUUCUUGUAUAUUUCUCUAUGGAUUUCUACAUGCAUCCUCUGCACAAGGCUUUGUAUUAAUGGCUCUACAGAUGAGAAUAACCUCCUUUGGAGAGGUUAGCAAUGCAAUCAUCAUUGAACGUGUUAAAGAGUUUUUUGAAAAGCAGAUCCCGAAUGGAACAUUUCACACAAUCAACGUGGCAAACAUUCAAAGGGUGGAUGCUAAUUGAAGACAGCAGUUCAAGGUUAUGCUGGCAGAAUUGUUUCAACACCAUGUGAAAUGGUAGUUAACCUUAUUCCUUUCUUCAUAUUUGGAAAGACUCCUUUGGCCAUUUAUGCCACUCUACAAUCCGUGAACAAUAUUCCAAAGAAUUGGAGAUGUUUAUUAGGGUUCAAAUUGAUCAAACACAGCCAGUUUAGUGAAUUUUCCGGCGUUAGGCAAAAGUGUUCAAGUGAAAAGUUGAAAAAAGUUGCAAAAAAAUCAAAAAGUUGAUUCAACUGUUACAGUCAAUUGUACCAAAGAGCUGGAGUCAUUAUACAGUGUUAAACUCUACAUAGAGUUUAUUUGUUUUGUAUUCAACACUGAUCAGAUUUAUUUGCGACACUUAGUAGAAUUAAAUUAUUAAUUUAGGUUUUAAAUGUCACUGUACACAACUGUCAUACUUCUUGGUGUUGGGCUUAACUCUUUAGAUUUUACACUUAUUCCGAGUUACAUUGUUAAGACUUCGCUGAGCGUUGAUUUAACACUGAUAACAUUGGGACAAUAUUAACACCAGCUUAGAGUUAAAAUUGAAUCUCACAGAGUCAAUUUAACUCUCAGAAAUGUGCUGUGAUAUAUAAAGAGAGCAGUUCAAGGUUAUGCUGGGAGAAUUGUUUCAACACGAUGUGUAGUGGCAGUUGACCUUAUUCUUCAUAUCUGCAAAGACUGCUUUAGCAAUUUAGCAUGACGCAUCAAAUGUUGUUGCACUUCACUGUGUGGCGGUGAUCUACAGCCCACACCUAGAAAUUACCAGAACUAUCUUGAUUUCCGUCUGAUUUUUUAAUCAAAAAUGUUUUCACUCUACAAUCCGUGAACAAUAUUCCAAAGAAUUGGCGAUGUUUUUUGAAUGUGCAUAGAAGAAUGGAAAGCUCAAACUAAGGAAUAUGAUCUUCCAAAGAGGUUAUAAAUAGGUAUCAAUAAUUCCCAUGCUCUUUAACUGGAAGAGAAGCUGCCAAAAAACACCACACCCAUCAUCAUGAAUGAGGAAAGAUCUCACAUAAACACUGGCAACAAUAAACUCGGUGAGUGUCAAGCUUAUAGAAUCUUCCAAGCAGAAAGUGAAAGCACUGCCUAUGCAUUUAUUUCCUUACCUUCAUUUGGUCAUUAUUUAUUUCUAUUUUUUUGUAUUGUAUUUACUACAAAAAAAACCAUCACAGUUAAGUAUAUUAAAUUAACUAUUAAAAUUAUAAAAAACAUGAAUGACAAUCUUGAGUGGAAGAAUUCAUCUUUGGUAUUUUUUUUCAUUUGCAUUAAUGACUGACUACAAUAUUUUUACACCAUUCUCCAUCUCUGAUCUACAACAGCCAAAACUCCUAAACCAUCCUUUUUCUUUGAAAAGACAAUUGUUCCUAUGAAACAAACAAAUGAAAGUAUGUGAACUCAAUAAUCCAUCAACUUGUCACCAAUCCUUUGCAGCUCCUCUCUCAUCUCCCUCUGUAGAGCCAAAGGCUCCAUGCAAGGCUCUGCUUAGCAGCGCCAACAGGUCAACAGCCCCCCCAGGUCCCCUGGACAGGAAGAACUCUAGAGCGCAAGUGGAGGCGCGAGGAAGCCGCACGCCCGACAUCCUGCAUCCUGGAAAGUGAAUUCAAGGAGAUGUUAAUAGGACAUUAAAGUUCAUCUCACAUCUUCUUCUGAAAAAAGUUUAUUACACCCAUACAGAGCCUGGUAAAGAGGUCACCUGAUUUAUAUUAGAGCUGUAGUUUGAAGUGAUAAGGAAAUACAGACUAGAGAAGCAGGUCAGGCCCCUAUGCCAUCAUGAUCAUACCCUAUGAUACACAUCUUAUUCCAGGUAUUCUCAAUCAGAGGUUUAAACAAUAGAUUCCAUAUGGAAUUACAGAAAUAUGCACAGUUAUGAAAGAUGGAAGUGAGUUUCCAAGACCUGAAAGAUAAAGGGAGCAGAUUUCAUACAAAGACAUUAUUGAUGAUUUUGCAUCAAGGCCAGAAACGUCAGGUUUUAGAUUUAGUUUGUGUUUUCUGUUCUUAGUGCAAUAGUGAAACAGUUCGAUUGUAUUUAGUGUGAUUCCACAUUUGUGUGAUGAAGAAUUUGUGCUAUUUACAAUAUUUAUUCUAUAUUUUAUUUGUAUAUUGUUCUUUUUGAAUUGUAUAUUUUGUGCAAAUGUGUGUUUCCUGUUAUAAUUGCAAGAGCAACUGGAUUCUGUUUCAAUCUGUCUCACUUAUGUUAAAAUAAAAAAACAAAGGGGGUCUCGCCCUGGGCGCCAUUCAAUGCAGAACCGCCCCUGGUUCUGCAGUUUCGUAAGAGUCGCACGCUAGACUGUUUAUUUUUAACAUUGAAUCAAAAAAGGAAG